CCUAUGGGGUGCAGCAGUCGCGAAAACUUUGCAAUACACGCAAGUGUGACAGGGCUAUCCCGAGUGCCGCCCGCUGAGGGUGGCUUUUGCUCAGUUUAGCAAGCUGGGAGAAUAAGGAGAGGGCAAGUCUGGUGUCAGCCGCCGCGGUAAUACCAGCUCUCCGAGUGGUGUGGAUGUUUAUUGGGCCUAAAGCAUCCGUAGCUUGCUGUUCAAGUCCCCUGUUAAAUCCAAUGAAUUAAUUGUUGGUGUGCGGGGGAUACUGUUCGGCUAGGGGACGGGAGAGGCAGACGGUAUUUUCGGGGUAGGGGUGAAAUCCUAUAAUCCCGGGAAGACCACCAGUGGCGAAGGCUGUCUGCUAGAACGCGCCCGACGGUGAGGGAUGAAAGCUGGGGGAGCGAACCGGAUUAGAUACCCAUGUAGUCC
RNAcentral lists this ribosomal RNA (423 nucleotides) under uncultured Thermoprotei archaeon. RNAcentral's name for it is "bacterial SSU rRNA". It matches the Rfam family "Archaeal small subunit ribosomal RNA", at positions 322 to 747 of the family's 1478-position model. The record is from RNAcentral. Lineage: Archaea; Thermoproteati; Thermoproteota; Thermoprotei.